GACGAACGCUGGCGGCGUGCUUAACACAUGCAAGUCGAGCGGUAAGGCCCUUUCGGGGGUACACGAGCGGCGAACGGGUGAGUAACACGUGGGUGACCUGCCCUCAGCUCUGGGAUAAGCCUGGGAAACCGGGUCUAAUACUGGAUAUGACUCCAUGACGCAUGUUGUGGGGUGGAAAGCCUUGUGCGGCUGAGGAUGGGCCCGCGGCCUAUCAGCUUGUUGGUGGGGUGANGGCCUACCAAGGCGACGACGGGUAGCCGGCCUGAGAGGGCGACCGGCCACACUGGGACUGAGACACGGCCCAGACUCCUACGGGGAGGCAGCAGUGGGGAAUCUUGCGCAAUGGGCGAAAGCCUGACGCAGCGACGCCGCGUGAGGGAUGACGGCCUGGUGU
This 394-nucleotide ribosomal RNA is filed under the name uncultured bacterium. Its description in RNAcentral is "bacterial SSU rRNA". It matches the Rfam family "Bacterial small subunit ribosomal RNA", at positions 28 to 422 of the family's 1533-position model. The record is from RNAcentral.